RNAcentral lists this ribosomal RNA (1499 nucleotides) under Weissella confusa. RNAcentral describes it as "bacterial SSU rRNA". It matches the Rfam family "Bacterial small subunit ribosomal RNA". The record is from RNAcentral. Lineage: Bacteria; Bacillati; Bacillota; Bacilli; Lactobacillales; Lactobacillaceae.
GAUGAACGCUGGCGGCGUGCCUAAUACAUGCAAGUCGAACGCUUUGUGGUUCAACUGAUUUGAAGAGCUUGCUCAGAUAUGACGAUGGACAUUGCAAAGAGUGGCGAACGGGUGAGUAACACGUGGGAAACCUACCUCUUAGCAGGGGAUAACAUUUGGAAACAGAUGCUAAUACCGUAUAACAAUGACAACCGCAUGGUUGUUAUUUAAAAGAUGGUUCUGCUAUCACUAAGAGAUGGUCCCGCGGUGCAUUAGCUAGUUGGUAAGGUAAUGGCUUACCAAGGCGAUGAUGCAUAGCCGAGUUGAGAGACUGAUCGGCCACAAUGGGACUGAGACACGGCCCAUACUCCUACGGGAGGCAGCAGUAGGGAAUCUUCCACAAUGGGCGAAAGCCUGAUGGAGCAACGUCGCGUGUGUGAUGAAGGGUUUCGGCUCGUAAAACACUGUUGUAAGAGAAGAAUGACAUUGAGAGUAACUGUUCAAUGUGUGACGGUAUCUUACCAGAAAGGAACGGCUAAAUACGUGCCAGCAGCCGCGGUAAUACGUAUGUUCCAAGCGUUAUCCGGAUUUAUUGGGCGUAAAGCGAGCGCAGACGGUUAUUUAAGUCUGAAGUGAAAGCCCUCAGCUCAACUGAGGAAUUGCUUUGGAAACUGGAUGACUUGAGUGCAGUAGAGGAAAGUGGAACUCCAUGUGUAGCGGUGAAAUGCGUAGAUAUAUGGAAGAACACCAGUGGCGAAGGCGGCUUUCUGGACUGUAACUGACGUUGAGGCUCGAAAGUGUGGGUAGCAAACAGGAUUAGAUACCCUGGUAGUCCACACCGUAAACGAUGAGUGCUAGGUGUUUGAGGGUUUCCGCCCUUAAGUGCCGCAGCUAACGCAUUAAGCACUCCGCCUGGGGAGUACGACCGCAAGGUUGAAACUCAAAGGAAUUGACGGGGACCCGCACAAGCGGUGGAGCAUGUGGUUUAAUUCGAAGCAACGCGAAGAACCUUACCAGGUCUUGACAUCCCUUGACAACUCCAGAGAUGGAGCGUUCCCUUCGGGGACAAGGUGACAGGUGGUGCAUGGUUGUCGUCAGCUCGUGUCGUGAGAUGUUGGGUUAAGUCCCGCAACGAGCGCAACCCUUAUUACUAGUUGCCAGCAUCCAGUUGGGCACUCUAGUGAGACUGCCGGUGACAAACCGGAGGAAGGUGGGGAUGACGUCAAAUCAUCAUGCCCCUUAUGACCUGGGCUACACACGGGCUACAAUGGCGUAUACAACGAGUUGCCAACCCGCGAGGGUGAGCUAAUCUCUUAAAGUACGUCUCAGUUCGGAUUGUAGGCUGCAACUCGCCUACAUGAAGUCGGAAUCGCUAGUAAUCGCGGAUCAGCACGCCGCGGUGAAUACGUUCCCGGGUCUUGUACACACCGCCCGUCACACCAUGAGAGUUUGUAACACCCAAAGCCGGUGGGGUAACCUUCGGGAGCCAGCCGUCUAAGGUGGGACAGAUGAUUAGGGUG